Anguilla anguilla (European eel) is the source of this 1209-nucleotide long non-coding RNA. RefSeq lists it as uncharacterized. NCBI's taxonomy places the organism in Eukaryota, Metazoa, Chordata, Actinopteri, Anguilliformes, Anguillidae. The record is from RefSeq and is a predicted model, not a curated record. The transcript is spliced from 2 exons.
CAUGCAGUGUGCAGAUGCCGCUAGUUUAGCUCCGUGCCAUACUCAAAUUUAUUUGAAAUUAUAACAGUAUUUCUGGACACAAACGUGGAUUCUAAAUCGCCCGAACACAGCAUGACGUUGUGCCACAUUUUUUUAAUAUCCUACACCCCACCAAAAAACUGCAAAGAGAUUCAGAGCUACUUGCCACAUCCAAAAACAAGCAAAUAAAACGAGCAAGAUAGCGACCCUGCUAGUGACGUUUGAGAUAAGUAGCCGCAAAUUUGGACUCUAAACUGGCUAACAGCAAGUACUCCGGUCGCAGAAAUAUCUUACAGAAUGGAUGAGUUUAUGGGAAUGACUGCCGAAACUGGCCAACAAAGUUUCUGCUGGGUGGGCUAAAGAACAGACUAGAGACAGCGGCCUUCAACUACAACGGGAGGCGGCCGUCAGGUAGCUAUCGUCAUACACGUAGUUGGCAUUCGCCUCAGGUAAACAGCAGUGUGGCAGAGGGCCACCUUCAGCUGACCGCCAUCUCCUGUGGGACUUCCUUCGUCCAAACAAAACAAACCGGAGGGGUCGGCCAACCACUUGGUUUCGGUGAGUGGAGGCAAAACACGCGAGCGUACAAAGCCAACGCCACACAGCCAACAAUCUAACAAUCAAGAGGUCUGCAGCUCAAAGACUGUGACCAAUUGGGAAUCCUCUGUGAGACCAUCCCUGGGAAGAACGCUGUUUACAGGUCGGUGGACCCCUUGCUAAGGUCAUGUACCCAAACAACAAAGACCACAACACAGCCGCUCUGCUGCUAUGUGUGCCCUGACAAUGCACAUUCCUUACUUCCCAGCAGUGGGGUACAACACACUCUUGACUCUCAUAUCUUCAUUAGAUUGGGCCAGUCUGUUCAACAAAGCUUCGACCUUACAUUCUUAAUAUACCGGGAUAGCACUUUACAUACAUUUUAUAUAAUUCUUUAUGUUGUAUACCCACUUCCUCAGAUGUGGCUCUCUCCUAAGCCAUAAAAGCCGUGUGUUGGCCAUGUGCUUUGUUUAAUAUAACUUUAAUCGCAUCAAAAUGUCUACAUCUAACAGGACAAGACAGAUUUUUUUUCCUCUAAACAAAUUGCUGUAUUCCCCCCCAGUGCAAGAGGCAUCACGGCACACUAGCACAACAAUUUGACUAAAUUCGCUCUGGAGUCUCCACAGGGACACCAAAAUAAACACUAAUGUAAAA